AAAAGGAAGUGAUUCCGGCGGAGGAUGGGCAUGCGGCGCAUUAGCUGGUUGGCGGGGUAACGGCCCACCAAGGCGACGAUGCGUAGGGGUUCUGAGAGGAAGGUCCCCCACACUGGUACUGAGACACGGACCAGACUCCUACGGGAGGCAGCAGUGAGGAAUAUUGGUCAAUGGGCGGGAGCCUGAACCAGCCAAGUCGCGUGAGGGAAGACGGUCCUAUGGAUUGUAAACCUCUUUAGGCGGGGAGCAAUGCCGGGCACGCGUGCCCGGAGGGAGAGUACCCGCAGAAUAAGCAUCGGCUAACUCCGUGCCAGCAGCCGCGGUAAUACGGAGGAUGCGAGCGUUAUCCGGAUUUAUUGGGUUUAAAGGGUGCGUAGGCGGAUUUUUAAGUCAGCGGUAAAAUGUCCGGGCUCAACCCGGGCCGGCCGUUGAAACUGGGGAUCUUGAGUGGGCGAGAAGUAUGCGGAAUGCGUGGUGUAGCGGUGAAAUGCAUAGAUAUCACGCAGAACUCCGAUUGCGAAGGCAGCAUACCGGCGCCCGACUGACGCUGAGGCACGAAAGCGUGGGGAUCGAACAGGAUUAGAUACCCUGGUAGUCCACGCAGUAAACGAUGAAUGCUAGUUGUCCGG
RNAcentral lists this ribosomal RNA (629 nucleotides) under uncultured bacterium. RNAcentral describes it as "bacterial SSU rRNA". It matches the Rfam family "Bacterial small subunit ribosomal RNA", at positions 202 to 827 of the family's 1533-position model. The record is from RNAcentral.